This is an RNA transcript of Anarrhichthys ocellatus (wolf-eel), 2870 nucleotides long. It is a transcript of the gene named ArfGAP with FG repeats 1a, with no coding region annotated. The transcript has 16 exons. The record is from RefSeq and is a predicted model, not a curated record. NCBI's taxonomy places the organism in Eukaryota, Metazoa, Chordata, Actinopteri, Perciformes, Anarhichadidae.
AAGCCCCCCCCUAACAACAGAGCCACCUACCCAUUCCCUCUCUGUCUUACGCACGGGCCGGCGACCGUUAACAAAAGCUAAAACUCUAGCGGACCCUCCAGCCUAACCCCAGGUUUUAUUAAUCCUGCUGUGUAAACUUAACCAUGGCGGCUAGUGCUAAACGAAAACAAGAGGAGAAACACCUAAAGAUGCUGAGAGAAAUGACGAGUUUGCCUCCCAACAGAAAGUGCUUUGACUGCGACCAGCGCGGCCCAACCUAUGCCAACAUGACCGUGGGCUCCUUCGUGUGCACCUCCUGCUCCGGCAUCCUACGAGGACUGAAUCCACCUCACAGAGUCAAGUCCAUCUCAAUGACAACCUUCACGCAACUGGAAAUAGAGUUCCUACAGAAACAUGCCAAUGAGGUAUGUAAACGGAUGUGGCUCGGCCUUUAUGACGACAGAACUACCUCAAUACCAGACUUCAGAGAACCACAGAAGGUCAAGGAGUUCCUUCAAGAGAAAUAUGAGAAGAAGAGAUGGUACGUACCUCCUGAGCAGGCCAAAGUAGUUGCCUCCGUCCAUGCUUCCAUCUCCGGCUCCUCGAACAGCAGCACCAGCAGCACCCCUGAGGUUAGACCACUGAAAGCCCUGCUGGGGGAGUCGGCCCCCUCCCUCCACCUCAACAAGAACACCCCACCUAACCAGUCUCCAGUGGUGAGCCGUGGACAAACCCAUCAGCAGCAGUUCCAUGACAAAAGGUUCGACCUCCUCAGUGACUUGGGUGGAGACAUCUUCGCUGCCCCGCCCAACAUGAACGCAGGCGCCGGCUCCAGUUUUGCUAACUUUGCACAUUUCAACAGCCACACAACAGCACAGAAUGCAAACGCAGACUUUGCUAAUUUUGAUGCAUUUGGGAGCACCUCUGGGUCGACAGGUGGUUUCCCCUCCGCUCCCCAAGCCCCAUUCCACCCCUCAAAUACAGCAUUCACUGCUCUUUCAUCCAGCCGCAGUAUGGGUGAGUUUGCCACUGGUCUGCCUCUUCAGGUUGCACACAGUAGCGCCUCAGGUGGACUAGCAAAUGCCAAUUUUGCAAAUUUUGCCAACUGCCCCAAAUCGUGUAGCGCUGACUUUGGAUCCUUCAGCUGCUCCUCCCAGAGUAACUCCACAGGAGCCGGCAGAGAUGCUGUACAGAGUACUAGCCUCCCUGCCGAUAGAUACGCAGCCCUGGCUGACCUGGAUAACGGGUUUAGCUCUGCCAAAACAGAGCAAGGAGGUGGGAUUCCUGUUGGGGUGAGCUCAGCCGCGGCGGCAGGAGUAUCUGGUUUUCCUCAGAAGCAGUCAGCGAUGUCAGCAGGGGGGGACCGCUAUGCUGCUCUAGCUGAGCUUGAUAAUGUCUUUGGCCCCUCGGUCCCUGCCACCAGUGUUUACAACCCCACCAGCACCUCACAAGGAAUACAUGAUCGACUAUCUGGCAACUUCACUAACAAACACUUUUAUCCAAAGCAACCUACAAACAUACAGGGUAUGUUUGGCCCAGAGACUGGGAUGUCAACUGCACACGCACAGCAGGCGCUGCCUGGCAUGGCUCAAGGUUUUGGUGCUCAGUCAACUAAUCCGUUUGUAGCUGCGCCAGCAACGGCUCCCACCAACCCGUUCCAGAGCAACGGCAGAGCAGCUAAUAUGGCGGCAGCGGCUGCAGCAGCAGCGGCAUCAUUUGGCACGGGCUCCAUGAGUAUGCCAGCUGGAUUUGGGAAUACUGCAGCCUUCAACCUCCCCACCAGCUUUAGUGGAACGUUCCAGCAACCAUUUCCUGGCCAGGCUCCCUUUCCUCAGCCUCCUGCGUACCCCCAGCAACCCAACGGUGGAGGAUUUGCAUCCUUUGGUCAGGCCAAGCCUGUUGUGACUCCUUUCGGGCAGCAAAUGGCCGGACCUAUGCUCUCUAGCAACCCGUUCCUGGGUGCGGGUCCAUCUGCGCAAUAUCCAGCAGGAGGCUCUUCAACGAAUCCCUUCUUAUAGCGAUCCGUCCAAUCCGCUCCACCACAGGGUCAACAACUGGCGCGCUUGCACUUAUUGCACUGUAUGUUUCACAAGUAGCUUUAAACACAAUGUUUGUAAGGAUUUGUAUUUUGUAUCGCAGUUUGUCACAAAUGGAACAAUACGACAGACAGUCAUGCUGACGCUAUCAUUGGCUACAAAUCAAAGUGAUGGUAUGUGCAGAGGGAGAGGCUGAUCCCCUCGUCUCUAUUUAACCUGUGAACUGGCCUAGCCUCUACUGAACCACAAUGUAUAAUCAAACUGGCUGAAAACUAAGUUAUUGCAUACACUAUAUCCCAUUCAUCAUGCUGCAACUCUGUACAUAUUCAUUUUCUUUUUGGAAAUUAGCGCUUUGUGCAUAUCAGUAUUUGUAUCUUACACAUAAGAUUUGUUAAGACAGAACUGUUGCUUGGAUAAGUUAAUUGGUACCGCCACUUACUGUAUUUGUGAAGAACCAAACUGUUUAUGUGUGCAGGUUCCUUUUUAGGUUAACUGUUCUCACUGAAGAAAAAGAAAAAAAACGCCUAUUCUGUUUGCAAGAGAUGAAAAGAGUGACUGCUCCAUCCGGGAUGUGUCCCGUGUCCUGCUGACAGACGCCCAGGUCACACAGCUCCUGAACUACAGUCAGUCCAUAAGUGAAUAAAAGGAAUGGCUAAUGAGAGUCUGGAGGUUCUUGUUUGACCGGAGGGGCGGACUCGUGGGACUUGUUGCUUCUCUGCAUUCUCCAAAUGGUAAACAGUCCCCGAAGUGAAAAAACAACCGCUAUGAGUGAGAAGUAGCUGGCGUAUAUGGUGAACUGCAAAAACAAAAGUGUUUGUAACGGUGAUGAGUGGACAUACAAACAGUUCUACGACA